UGGUUUGUUUAUUAAACAUCAUAUGGAACUAUAUUUUUAUUAUUUUGAUAUGUUUGACUCUAAAUAAAAAUCUAACCAAAGAUACCAGUCUAUAUAAGACCCAUCAAUACAGCUCGAAUCAUAACAACUAUAGCUUACUUCAUAUACGAAGUUUAAGAGAAUUCCAAUUUCAAAAUGUGUGUCAAAUAAGGUCAAUUUUUCGUUGGGUGAAAGUACAUGUCAUUCUACAAGUUUGUGUUUCCAACGAAUGCCAAAAAAAUCAGUAUUUAUCAUGCUACUUUUUAUCGAUAACGUGCGCAUAUAUAUAUUUGAUAUCUCAAAAAAGUAUGCAUUAAACAAUGUAUACCAAAUUUUUAUACGGACGCCAUCUAGGAUGACGGAUGACGGAUGACGUAGUAACGACAAUUGGAACAUAUCCGUAGUCAGCUGAUAAAUAGAUUUGAACGUAUAAAUGAGGAAAAAUUUCUAAUUUAGAAAGAUCAUACCAUAGGGAACAUGUGUACUAAGUCAUAAGUUGAUUGGACUUCAACUUCAUCAAAAACUACCUCGACCAAAAACUUUAACCUGAAGCGGGACAGACGGACAAACGCACGGAAUAACGGACGAACGGACAAACGAACGAACGAACGAACAGACGGACGCACAGACCAGAAAACAUAAUGUCCAUAAAUGGGGCAUAACAUAUUUAAAAUCCUAAUGUUUAACAAUGAAAAGCUGAGUAAACCAAACGGACUAAAUAUAUUGCCAAACCCGCAUACAAAGAAUAAGAGCUUUGCAGUUAGAAAUAUGUCUUUUUAACCAAUCUUUAUAAUGUUGAGAGUAGUCUCGGAUCCAGAUAA
This 839-nucleotide long non-coding RNA is filed under the name Mytilus galloprovincialis (Mediterranean mussel). The record is from RNAcentral. Lineage: Eukaryota; Metazoa; Mollusca; Bivalvia; Mytilida; Mytilidae.